GUGGGGAAUUUUGGACAAUGGGCGCAAGCCUGAUCCAGCAAUGCCGCGUGUGUGAAGAAGGCCUUCGGGUUGUAAAGCACUUUUGGCAGGAAAGAAAUAGCGCGUGCUAAUACCAUGCGCGAAUGACGGUACCUGCAGAAUAAGCACCGGCUAACUACGUGCCAGCAGCCGCGGUAAGACGUAGGGUGCAAGCGUUAAUCGGAAUUACUGGGCGUAAAGCGUGCGCAGGCGGUUUUGUAAGACAGGUGUGAAAUCCCCGGGCUCAACCUGGGAACUGCACUUGUGACUGCAAGGCUAGAGUGUGUCAGAGGGAGGUGGAAUUCCGCGUGUAGCAGUGAAAUGCGUAGAGAUGCGGAGGAACACCGAUGGCGAAGGCAGCCUCCUGGGAUAACACUGACGCUCAGGCACGAAAGCGUGGGGAGCAAACAGGAUUAGAUACCCUUGUAGUCC
This 450-nucleotide ribosomal RNA is filed under the name uncultured bacterium. RNAcentral's name for it is "partial 16S ribosomal RNA". It matches the Rfam family "Bacterial small subunit ribosomal RNA", at positions 354 to 796 of the family's 1533-position model. The record is from RNAcentral.